GCUGCCAUCCGAAAGGAGCUCAAUGAAUUCAAAAGCACUGAGAUGGAAGUUCAUGAAUUGAGUAGACACUUAACAAGGUUUCACCGACCUUAACAGUCGAAUUCCUCUUGAGUGCUAUGCUGUCUUCAAAACAUAAAUUUAUAAGAACCAUAAGUGCUGGUAUUUAUUCACUUCCCCAUUAUGAUGUAAAUCUUCUGAACUGCCUUUUUUUUUUAAAGAAGAAAAAUCAAGGAAACACAAUCAGGAUUUUAUGUGUGAAAACGCAAAAGUGAUGGCUCGGUGGUCCGAGCUGCUGGUCCCACUUCUGACACCAAAAUGCAUCCCAAACCCCAGCAGUGCCAAGGGCACCGGCAGGGCCCUGACUGAAGACUUUCCAGCAGGUGGAAUGGUCCUUGUUCUCUCCAGCCAGGCCCAGCAGGCACUGCCUUCAUGAAGUCUCCAGCAAACUUCUUCCUCACAAGUGUCUGUCACCUGAGUCCAAAGAAAGCUGAAGGGGUGGGUUUGUUUUGGGGGGUACUGUGCAAAGCUAAUGAUCUGGUUGGACUCCUACACUUGGCCAAAUGUGCUGGCUCCAGACAUGACAUCUGGUUUGGGGGCCCUUUGAAGUUGAUGCCAAGAAGGAGGGAGCACUUCUCAGUUGUCCCUGGCUUUUCAGUCCGUUCAGCCACCACCCACACAGUGAACAAAAGGGAAGGGCCCGUUUCUGGGGGAGUCUGGCUGCCUCUUGGCUACGAAGGCUGGCACUGAGCACCCAUCCUGCCCCCUCUGCCUGAGCUGAGCUGCCUUUUGGGAAGCUCUGGUUUAGAAGGGGAAAGUUGUCAUCUGCUCAGUUCAAAUAAUCAACCCAUCUGUGUUCAGA
This is a long non-coding RNA of Mandrillus leucophaeus (drill), 859 nucleotides long. RefSeq lists it as uncharacterized. Lineage: Eukaryota; Metazoa; Chordata; Mammalia; Primates; Cercopithecidae. The record is from RefSeq and is a predicted model, not a curated record. The transcript is spliced from 2 exons.